AUUGAACGCUGGCGGCAUGCCUUACACAUGCAAGUCGAACGGCAGCACGGGAGCAAUCCUGGUGGCGAGUGGCGAACGGGUGAGUAAUAUAUCGGAACGUGCCCGGUCGUGGGGAUAACGUAGCGAAAGCUACGCUAAUACCGCAUACGAUCUACGGAUGAAAGCGGGGGAUCGCAAGACCUCGCGCGAUUGGAGCGGCCGAUAUCAGAUUAGGUAGUUGGUGAGGUAAAGGGCUCACCCAAGCCGACGAUCUGUAGCUGGUCUGAGAGGACGACCAGCCACACUGGGACUGAGACACGGCCCAGACUCCUACGGAGGCAGCAGUGGGGAAUUUUGGACAAUGGGCGCAAGCCUGAUCCAGCAAUGCCGCGUGCAGGAUGAA
This 382-nucleotide ribosomal RNA is filed under the name uncultured bacterium. RNAcentral's name for it is "bacterial SSU rRNA". It matches the Rfam family "Bacterial small subunit ribosomal RNA", at positions 30 to 412 of the family's 1533-position model. The record is from RNAcentral.